ACUGACGCUCAUAUGCGAAAGCGUGGGUAGCAAACAGGAUUAGAUACCCUGGUAGUCCACGCCGUAAACGAUGUCAAUUAGGAGCUUGUGCGAUAGUAUGGGUUCCGCAGCAAACGCGAUAAAUUGACCGCCUGGGGAGUACGGCCGCAAGGUUAAAACUCAAAUGAAUUGACGGGGGCCCGCACAAGCGGUGGAGCAUGUGGUUUAAUUCGACGCAACGCGAAGAACCUUACCUGACCUUGACAUAGUGAGAACCUCUCUGAAGGGAGAGGGUGCCUUCGGGAGCUCACAUACAGGUGCUGCAUGGCUGUCGUCAGCUCGUGUCGUGAGAUGUUGGGUUAAGUCCCGCAACGAGCGCAACCCUUGUCCUUUGUUGCCAGCGGGUAAAGCCGGGAACUCAAAGGAGACUGCCAGUGACAAACUGGAGGAAGGCAGGGAUGACGUCAAGUCAUCAUGGCCCUUACGGUCAGGGCUACACACGUGCUACAAUGGGGCGUACAGAGGGAAACGAUACCGCGAGGUGGAGUGGAACCCACAAAGCGUCCCUAAGUUCGGAUUGGAGUCUGCAACUCGACUCCAUGAAGUCGGAAUCGCUAGUAA
Molecule: ribosomal RNA, 600 nt
Filed under: uncultured bacterium
Lineage: Bacteria
Description: bacterial SSU rRNA
Rfam family: Bacterial small subunit ribosomal RNA
Source: RNAcentral